CGCCGCCGCGGGAAUACAGAGGGUGCGAGCGUUAAUCGGAUUUACUGGGCGUAAAGCGUGCGUAGGCGGCUUUUUAAGUCGGAUGUGAAAUCCCUGAGCUUAACUUAGGAAUUGCAUUCGAUACUGGGAAGCUAGAGUAUGGGAGAGGAUGGUAGAAUUCCAGGUGUAGCGGUGAAAUGCGUAGAGAUCUGGAGGAAUACCGAUGGCGAAGGCAGCCAUCUGGCCUAAUACUGACGCUGAGGUACGAAAGCAUGGGGAGCAAACAGGAUUAGAUACCCCCGUAGUCCCUGUCUCUUAUACA
Molecule: ribosomal RNA, 301 nt
Filed under: uncultured bacterium
Lineage: Bacteria
Description: partial 16S ribosomal RNA
Rfam family: Bacterial small subunit ribosomal RNA
Source: RNAcentral